RNAcentral lists this transfer RNA (73 nucleotides) under Bacteroides sp. CAG:1060_57_27. RNAcentral's name for it is "tRNA-Lys". It matches the Rfam family "tRNA". From Rfam's summary of the family: Transfer RNA (tRNA) molecules are approximately 80 nucleotides in length. Their secondary structure includes four short double-helical elements and three loops (D, anti-codon, and T loops). The record is from RNAcentral. RNAcentral also lists the same sequence under 5 other names. Lineage: Bacteria; Pseudomonadati; Bacteroidota; Bacteroidia; Bacteroidales; Bacteroidaceae.
GCUUCCCUAGCUCAGUUGGUAGAGCACCUGACUCUUAAUCAGGGUGUCAAGGGUUCGAGCCCCUUGGGGAGCA